AUCUUUUGAGUAUGAUGUAGUACACUUGCCUUCCAAGCAAGAAGAUUAAAAAAUUUUAAAAAAGAUAUCGAAGGU
RNAcentral lists this transfer RNA (75 nucleotides) under Penion cuvierianus. RNAcentral's name for it is "tRNA-Gly". Lineage: Eukaryota; Metazoa; Mollusca; Gastropoda; Neogastropoda; Buccinidae. The record is from RNAcentral.